UUUGUCUUAUAAGCUUGUAUAUAGAGAUCAAGCCAUCGAGCUUAGAAUGCAAUUAGAUUUUACUAAUAUAUAAAUACAUAUGUAUUUUUAUCUGCUCUACUGACUACCUCUUUAGACUCUUUACUGACUGGGACCUUGGAGCUGCCUGAUGCCAUGUGAGAUGCCAUUCUGUAUUUCAUCAGCUGUCAUUCUAGAGAGAUCUGCUAAGGAAAAAGGGUUGAUCCUCCUGUCACCCUGAAGAUGGAUCCAGCAGAUCCAUACAGACUGUCAGCCAUGGGGUGACAAAGGUAGGAUCUCUGAAGCAAGGACCCAACCACUCAAAUCAUCUUCACCUUAACCAGGAAACUGCUUUUCUCCCGGCAGUGGUGGUCCAUAUGAGAAAGCACCAUGAACUGCUUAUUGUUAAAUCUUCCCUGCCAUGCAGGAUUCAGCACAAUGGGCUUCUGUCUCAGGACUGCAUUCCUGGAUCUAUGCAGAAGGAAAGAAAAAUAGGAUUUAGAGAAGGGUUGUAGACCCUUGAAAAUGAAAGUGGAGCAAUAAGUGAGUCAACAGAAGACAAUAUCAAGAAAUCAUUUUAAAAAUGAUGAGAAACCUGUUUGGAAUUCUCAUAUAUACAGCUGAUUUCUGAAUGAAAUUAAAC
Molecule: long non-coding RNA, 640 nt
Filed under: Coturnix japonica (Japanese quail)
Lineage: Eukaryota; Metazoa; Chordata; Aves; Galliformes; Phasianidae
Description: lncRNA (ENSCJPG00005003307.1)
Source: RNAcentral